CACCGUGCUGGUCGGCAAGUUCGGCGACCUGUUCGGCCGCAAGAUCGUCUUCCAGGUGAGCGCGGUGAUCUUCAUCGCCGGCUCGGUGG
RNAcentral lists this transfer RNA (89 nucleotides) under Kitasatospora indigofera. Its description in RNAcentral is "tRNA-Asn". The record is from RNAcentral. Lineage: Bacteria; Bacillati; Actinomycetota; Actinomycetes; Kitasatosporales; Streptomycetaceae.